This is a small nucleolar RNA of Mus pahari (shrew mouse), 141 nucleotides long. RefSeq annotates it as small nucleolar RNA SNORA48. The transcript has a single exon. The record is from RefSeq and is a predicted model, not a curated record. NCBI's taxonomy places the organism in Eukaryota, Metazoa, Chordata, Mammalia, Rodentia, Muridae.
CACUGCUGAGGGGAAAAGAGACAUCUUGGUGGUGGUGGUGUUCUCAUAUCAGUCAGGGGCAGAGCAGAUGGCAGUCCUUCGCUCAUCUUAGUUUGAUGUCUGGCUUGGUGGACAAAGCUGUCUUAUGCCUAGGACUUAUAA